GCCAUGGCUCAGUGGUAGGGCUACAGCUUUGAAUGCACAAGGCCCCAGGUUCAACCCCUGGGAGAAGUG
Non-coding RNA from Podarcis lilfordi (Lilford's wall lizard), 69 nucleotides. The record is from the annotation of a GenBank genome assembly. Lineage: Eukaryota; Metazoa; Chordata; Lepidosauria; Squamata; Lacertidae.